GACGAACGCUGGCGGCGUGCUUAACACAUGCAAGUCGAACGGAAAGGCCCUGCUUGCAGUGUACUCGAGUGGCGAACGGGUGAGUAACUCGUGGGUGAUCUGCCCUGCUCUUCGAGAUAAGCAUCGGAAACUGGGUCUAAUACCUGCUAGGAGCCAUCUUUAGUGUGGUGGUUGGAUAGUUUUUUGGGUGUAUGAUGAGCGUGCUGCCUGUCAACUUGUUGGUUGGGUAAGUGCCUACCAAGGCGGCGUCGGGUAGCCGGCCUGAGAGGGUGUACGGCCACAUUGGGACUGAGAUACGGCGCAGACUCCGACGGGAGGCAGCAGUGGGGGAUAGUGCACAAUGGGCGCAAGCCUGAUGCAGCGACGUCGCGUGGGGGAUGAAGGCCGUCAGGUUGUAAACUCCUUUCGCUAGGGACGAAGGUUUGUUGUGACGGUACCUAGAUAAGAAGCACCGGCUAACUACGUG
Molecule: ribosomal RNA, 466 nt
Filed under: uncultured bacterium
Lineage: Bacteria
Description: partial 16S ribosomal RNA
Rfam family: Bacterial small subunit ribosomal RNA
Source: RNAcentral